RNAcentral lists this ribosomal RNA (462 nucleotides) under uncultured bacterium. RNAcentral's name for it is "bacterial SSU rRNA". It matches the Rfam family "Bacterial small subunit ribosomal RNA", at positions 27 to 507 of the family's 1533-position model. The record is from RNAcentral.
GAUGAAACGUUGGCGGCGUGCCUAAUACAUGCAAGUCGAACGAAGACUGUAGUAAUACUGUCUUAGUGGCGAACGGGUGAGUAACGCGUGGGUGACCUGCCCCGAAGUGUGGGAUAACAGUCCGAAAGGAUUGCUAAUACUGCAUAAUAUCCAAGAGAUUAGAUGCUUUUGGAUUAAAGGAGUAAUUCGCUUCGGGAGGGGCCCGCGUCCCAUCAGCUAGUUGGUAAGGUAAUGACUUACCAAGGCGAUGACGGGUAGGGGACCUGAGAGGGUGGCCCCCCCACAAUGGAACUGAAACACGGUCCAUACACCUACGGGUGGCAGCAGUAGGGAAUAUUAGUAAUGGGCGAAAGCCUGAACUAGCAACGCCGCGUGUGCGAAGAAGGCCUUCGGGUCGUAAAGCACUUUUUGAGAGGAUGAGGAAGGACGGUACUCUCAGAAUAAGUCUCGGCUAACUACGUG